GCCAGGCAUGGUGGUGCAUGCCUGUAGUCCCAGCUACUCAGGAGGCUGAGGCAGGAGAAUUGCUUGAACCCAGGAGGCAGAGAUUGCAGUGAGCCGAGAUCGCGCCACUGCACUCCAGCCUGGGUGACAGAGCGAGACUCCGUCUCAA
RNAcentral lists this non-coding RNA (148 nucleotides) under Homo sapiens (human). The record is from Rfam by way of RNAcentral. Lineage: Eukaryota; Metazoa; Chordata; Mammalia; Primates; Hominidae.